CAAGUCAGUAUCAAACCUUAUUUGUAAUGUAAUGUCAAGAACCAAGAUCUCUCUUAAACUCUCAAAAAAGAAUCGCAUAAAGUAAUUGUAUUGAAUAAUUGAUAAUUUAUCUACAAUAUGGAAAAAGAGAUGCUUUAUAUACUCUAGAGCAUUCUAACCUAAAUAAAAAAUAAUAAUAAUAAUAACUAAAAGUCUAAAUAAAGACCUAUGACCUUUGCCACUUCCCACUACUAUGUAUGGAUCCAUGAUUUAUGCCACUACCCACUACUAUGCAUGGAUCCAUGAUCU
This 288-nucleotide long non-coding RNA is filed under the name Manihot esculenta (cassava). RNAcentral's name for it is "long non-coding RNA (MESC_LNC004691)". Lineage: Eukaryota; Viridiplantae; Streptophyta; Magnoliopsida; Malpighiales; Euphorbiaceae. The record is from RNAcentral.